Molecule: ribosomal RNA, 373 nt
Filed under: uncultured organism
Description: bacterial SSU rRNA
Rfam family: Bacterial small subunit ribosomal RNA
Source: RNAcentral
CGUAGGGUGCGAGCGUUAAUCGGAAUUACUAGGCGUAAAGCGUGCGCAGGCGGUUUUGUAAGACAGGCGUGAAAUCCCCGGGACUCAACCUGGGAACUGCGCUUGUGACUGCAAGGCUAGAGUACGGCAGAGGGGGGUGGAAUUCCACGUGUAGCAGUGAAAUGCGUAGAGAUGUGGAGGAACACCAAUGGCGAAGGCAGCCCCCUGGGUCGAUACUGACGCUCAUGCACGAAAGCGUGGGCAGCAAACAGGAUUAGAUACCCUGGUAGUCCACGCCCUAAACGAUGUCAACUAGGUGUUGGGUGGGUAAAACCAUUUAGUACCGGAGCUAACGCGUGAAGUUGACCGCCUGGGGAGUACGGCCGCAAGGUUA